Felis catus (domestic cat) is the source of this 1958-nucleotide long non-coding RNA. RefSeq lists it as uncharacterized. The record is from RefSeq and is a predicted model, not a curated record. The transcript is spliced from 4 exons. Lineage: Eukaryota; Metazoa; Chordata; Mammalia; Carnivora; Felidae.
UGCAGGAGGUCAUCAAAUGGAUGUGACCCCCGGUUGACCCUUGAGGCCAGCGAGAGGAUCGGGGGCUCCUCCCCUAGGCCGUCCUGGGAAGGCACGUUCUGCACGUUCCGCGGAUUGUUCCCGGGCCAGCGCCAUAUUCAGGGACGCGAACGGGAGCGAGCAAUGCGUUGCCGAGACCAUCUGGACGGUACACUUAACCCAGAUAAGGCCUCUGUAUAAACUUUGGAGUUUCUGGCAGGCGGGUGUGGAGAUCUAUGCGCCUUGCAGCUUCUCCAGAGAAGCCUCGCAUGAUGGUGUGGAGCUGAGCUGUGCAGUAGGAUUCUCUACGAUGAUGGAAAAAUCCUGAAUUUUCACUGCCUAAUACUGAGGCCAUUAGACUCAUGCAGAUUUACAGAGGUGACGUGUCAGAUGGAGAAACCGAGCAAUGACUUGACAAAGGACCUACAUUAAGCCUGUGUCAUGUGAAGAAUUGAGCCGCCCUGGACACAUUCCCAUCCCGAAGGCUUAGCUGUGCAAUGAAUGCGAUCAGCCGGUGUGUUAAGCUUUCCUUAUACAUGCCUCAGGAAGGAAGCAUCUUGAUUUAAAAGCUGCUUGUGAUGCUGCAUUGGUAAGAAUCCUGGGAGCAUCUUAGCUCUGUCCUCUCCACACAGCCUGUCUUAGCCCAUCCUCACAGCAGGCUGUUCUGUGACUUGCAGCAGUUGAAUCCAAUACCCUAACUGUCCUUCUGUCUUGCGUGCCUCCUCCUAAUUAACCAAUGGGGAAGGACUGUGACAACACUGCCUCUCAUGUCGAAUCCAUUUAUCUAUUCUUACCCACACAACUUGCAAACUAGAGGAUCCUGGGCAACUCCCAGCGGGUGCCUGGAGCAUAAGGGAAAAAUGUGUCUGGGAGGUUGUAGUAACUGCGUGGGCCCAUGACAUUAGCAUGAGUUUGUGUAUUGUUGGAAGCAUGUAUGCUGGGGUCGGAAGAGCUGGGUUCAAAUUCUCCUCUGCUAUUUGCUAUUUGUGCUAAAUUAUUUUCUGCCCAUCCUCCCUCUAAUCUUUUUUCUUGAUUAAAAAUCUUACACAAAAUGCUGAAGCUCUUAGUCUACCUGUGUUCUUAUAACAACAAAUUGAAAAGAGCAGCAUCUGUCAUAUAGAUUUGUUUUAAAUGAAAUAAUCCGUGUAAAGUGUUUAUGCCCUGUUUGGUGCACAAAGUGCUCUCAUUGAAUAGGUGUUUCCUAUUAUUGCUGUUCCUCUUCUUUCUGUAUCAACUUUGCAUUAUAAUCCAUUGUACGGUCUUUAUAUGACAUCAGUAUAUAGACCAUUUUAUAGCUCAAUAUCAGCUUUGCUGCCUCAUUCACUGCCAUAAGAUCUGAAAUAAAUCUCCUUCCCUUUCUCUUUCUCCCUCUCCCUCCCUCUCUUUCUCUCUGCCCCGCUCCCCCCCCCCCACCUUAUUUCUUGUUACUCUAGCUUUUGUAGGUUCUACAAAUUUUAGGUUUAAGGUAACCCGGGUCACCAUUUCCUUAUUGCUUUGCUUUGCUUUGUGUUCACUACUCAUAGCAUACUUUCCUUGUGACUUUCUGUAUUGGAGACUGUACCCUUGAACUUGGUGAAAAGUAAAUCUGCUAUAAUCUAGAAGCUGCCAUUUGUGUGAAGCUCUAGCAGUAAAUGCAGAAACUAUACAACUUUAUAAAUCAAUAGAAUUCACUUUUCUGUUCUAAUUUAAAUUUAUUUUAGAUAGUUCUUGGAUGGGACAGUUUCUGAGGUCUUCAACUAUUAGCCAUCUGAUGUUCUGAAUUGUUGAAAGAGACCAGGCCCAUUUCUCCAUUAAAAAAAUCUUAUGAUGCUAACACUGUCCUGUUCACACAGCAUCUUGCUCAGAGUCAAGUUGAGUCAGAGACAUCUGUAUCCAUCAAGACUGUUCUUUCUUUUUUUUUUUUUUUAAAUUUUUUUUAAUGUUUAUUUUUGAGAGAGAGA